RNAcentral lists this long non-coding RNA (1485 nucleotides) under Felis catus (domestic cat). RNAcentral's name for it is "lncRNA (ENSFCAG00000049232.1)". The record is from RNAcentral. Lineage: Eukaryota; Metazoa; Chordata; Mammalia; Carnivora; Felidae.
CUCCCUCUCUACUGCUGUCGUGCAACCUGUCUUCUGCUACUUAGGAGUUCUCUUCUUACACCUGCCUUUAAAUAAAACCCUGACCUGACCGUGAAGGAAAACCUGUCUCCCCAUCUGUGGCUGGUAUGACAAGUUUUUUGGAGCUGAGAAGCAUGAGGUCGGGCCUCGGGUUGCUGAAUAAUGGACCCCUUCGGUGACCCUCUGCGAGGCCUCUGGUGAGGAUUUUCAUGGGGUCCUUAAUCCACCUCCUGCUGAGACAGCCACACCCCCAACAAGGAUGCCUGUGCUGCAGUCGGUUAUACAGCCUGCCCGCCACCCCCAGAAACCACCCCCCCCCACCAGCCGCUGCAACUUUGUUGAAUGAUGGACCUACAGGGGGACUGUGGCUCCACGCAGAAGUCUGGGAAGGCAGCAGCCUGGACCCACUUGAAGGGGCAAGAGGGCCUAUGUGGCAGCGUGAGAGGGUCAGAGGGAUGGAAGGCUGAAACAGCCUUUUGGAUUCGACUCUUCUCCAGGGACAAACAGAAGGGAUGGCAGUGAGAAUAACCAUAUUCACCAACAAUUGGGAAUACUUAUUCCCCGACAACUUCCUAUGUGUUUUACUGAAUCGUCUCCUUCAGUCCCCACGGCAAAUCCAUCCAGCACUAGCACAGGGCCUAGGACGGAGACGGUGCCCAGGAGAUGUAUGAAAAGACAUGACAGCUGAGGAAACUGGACACGGGGAGGUGAAGUGACUUGCCUAAGGUCACACACUUGACAGGCAGUGGAGAGGAGAUUCAGGUCCGUCUGGCGUUCCUACUUUAUACUGUGCCUCAAAGAAAAGAUGCCAGGCUGUGGGCACUGUGAGGGCAAAGCAGGCGUGCUGAGGGAAGGUGCUCUGCUCUGCAUUGGCAGGAGGGGGGGUGCAGCCCGAGAAUCCAGGAGAGCGCCACCCCCGGCAUCGGUCCUGCCUGGCCAGCCUUCCCCAGCCUGAAAGGAGUCAAGUACACGAGUCAUGGGUCCCCCCAGAGGAGGGGGGAUGGUUUCAGACUCCAAGACCAGCAGAGUCCUACACACAAGGAGUAAUGGAGCUUUACUUGCUGUUCCAGACAUUUCCUCAUCAGCCUUUCUUCUGGAAGGAUCUGGGCACUCAGCUAUGUUUACACGUGCCCAGCCUGACAGAAGCCCUGUUUAUUAAAAAGGAUGGAGUGGACUUGGGUGUUCUGGGGUCUGUCCUCGUCUCCCUUGGCUCGGCCGGUUGAGAGAAGAUGGGACACGAGACAGAGAGGCCAGGAAUGUGCAGCAGAAAACCCACAGCCUUUGCCUGGGAGAGCAGGAGCGAAGCGGAUCCUGUCUGACGGAUCCCAGACCCCUCCACUGCCCCUGCUGACAUUUGAUAAAUGCUUCCUGUGAAAAUGUUUACCCAGGAGGAAAUGGAUCAUGCUUCCCCUUCCUACCACGAGGGUGGGAAGAGGGGCCACACAGGUCCCAUAAAUUCCACCAGCU